RNAcentral lists this unclassified non-coding RNA (245 nucleotides) under plant metagenome. RNAcentral describes it as "partial contains small subunit ribosomal RNA, internal transcribed spacer 1, and 5.8S ribosomal RNA". The record is from RNAcentral.
UCUCCGUUGGUGAACCAGCGGAGGGAUCAUUACUGGAAUCGCAAGAUCCCACAACCCCUGUGAACCUACCGAAACGUUGCCUCGGCGGGGUCACGCCCCGGGUGCGUCGCAGCCCCGGAACCAGGCGCCCGCCGGAGGAACCAACCAAACUCUUUCUGUAGUCCCCUCGCGGACGUUAUUUCUUACAGCUCUGAGCAAAAAUUCAAAAUGAAUCAAAACUUUCAACAACGGAUCUCUUGGUUCUG